UACGUAGGGUGCAAGCGUUGUCCGGAAUUAUUGGGCGUAAAGCGCGUGUAGGCGGCUCUGCAAGUCGGAUGUGAAAUCCCACGGCUCAACCAUGGAAGUGCAUUCGAAACUGCAGGGCUAGAGUCCUGGAGAGGAAGGUGGAAUGCUUGGUGUAGAGGUGAAAUUCGUAGAUAUCAAGCGGAACACCGGUGGCGAAGGCGGCCUUCUGGACAGUGACUGACGCUGAGACGCGAAAGCGUGGGGAGCAAACAGG
This 253-nucleotide ribosomal RNA is filed under the name uncultured bacterium. Its description in RNAcentral is "partial 16S ribosomal RNA". It matches the Rfam family "Bacterial small subunit ribosomal RNA", at positions 524 to 776 of the family's 1533-position model. The record is from RNAcentral.